Molecule: ribosomal RNA, 253 nt
Filed under: uncultured bacterium
Lineage: Bacteria
Description: partial 16S ribosomal RNA
Rfam family: Bacterial small subunit ribosomal RNA
Source: RNAcentral
UACGUAGGGUGCAAGCGUUAUCCGGAAUCAUUGGGUUUAAAGGGUCCGUAGGUGGGCCGUUAAGUCAGAGGUGAAAUCCUGCAGCUCAACUGUAGAAUUGCCUUUGAUACUGGCGGCCUUGAAUUACUGUGAAGUGGUUAGAAUAUGUGGUGUAGCGGUGAAAUGCAUAGAUAUCACAUAGAAUACCGAUUGCGAAGGCAGAUCACUAACAGUACAUUGACACUGAUGGACGAAAGCGUGGGGAGCGAACAGG